AGCAGCCGCGGUAAUUCCAGCUCCAAUAGCGUAUAUUAAAGUUGUUGCAGUUAAAAAGCUCGUAGUUGAAUUUCGGAAUCAAUGGAUCGGUCAUGCCACUCGGUGUGUACUGGUUUGAUUGGUUCUCACCUUCUAAGGAACCGUGAUGUCAUUAAUUUGGUGUCGCGGGGAAUUAGGACUGUUACCUUGAAAAAUUAGAGUGUUUAAAGCAAGCUCACGCUUGAAUACAUUAGCAUGGAAUAAUGAAAUAGGACAUUGUAUUCUAUUUUGUUGGUUUCUAGGAUCGAUGUAAUGAUUAAUAGGGAUAGUUGGGGCAUUAGUAUUCAAUUGUCAGAGGUGAAAUUCUUGGAUUUAUUGAAGACUAACUACUGCGAAAGCAUUUGCCAAGGAUGUUUUCAUUAAUCUAAGAACGAAAGUUAGGGGAUCGAAGACGAUCAGAUACCGUCGUAGUCUUAAA
Molecule: ribosomal RNA, 457 nt
Filed under: uncultured Glomus
Lineage: Eukaryota; Fungi; Glomeromycota; Glomeromycetes; Glomerales; Glomeraceae
Description: SSU rRNA
Rfam family: Eukaryotic small subunit ribosomal RNA
Source: RNAcentral